ACUGUUUUUAAUUACAUUUUGCAGGAAAUGGAGGUACUCGGGCUCCAAUUUUGGUUUAUCCAAAUGACAUGGAUGGUGUACCAAAGAUUUCCUUACGAACUUUCGCAAUGGCUUCUUAUAAGUUAAAGGGAUCUAUUUGGAUGCAAAAUGGAGUUAGUGAGAGUCAACUAUCAAAUUCUCUCUUGCAGGCUGCAGAUAACUGGUUAAGGCUGCUUCAGGUGAUGGAAUUUCUGACAUCACUUGCGGGAUGAAAAUCAAGCAUUCAAGGUCCCUGAAAAGCUUUACAUGGUGUAUAUAUUGGAAAUUCCUUAUUUAUUGUAUUUAUACUUGUGUAUAUUUGGUUUAUUUGAUUGUUUAUACUUUUGUGGUAGCUGUAAAUUCCUGGCUGAGAAUUAUAUAUAUUGGAAAGAUUAAGGAAAAUCUGCUCAGAGGGUUUUUUUGGUUCCCCCAUUAGAAGUUCAUAUUAUUGUAUUUAUUUCAUAUUCUUUCUUCA
Molecule: non-coding RNA, 493 nt
Organism: Cajanus cajan (pigeon pea)
Lineage: Eukaryota; Viridiplantae; Streptophyta; Magnoliopsida; Fabales; Fabaceae
Source: RefSeq, a predicted model, not a curated record